This 1100-nucleotide long non-coding RNA is filed under the name Danio rerio (zebrafish). RNAcentral describes it as "lncRNA si:dkey-11e6.7 (ENSDARG00000097141.2)". Lineage: Eukaryota; Metazoa; Chordata; Actinopteri; Cypriniformes; Danionidae. The record is from RNAcentral.
AUACAACUAUAGUGACUGUGAUGAUGAAAAUUUAUUUGGAAAAAAGAGACUGGAAAAGAAAGGCAGAAUGGAGGAUCUUUCAGAAAUUGAUGCAGCACCGCAAGUACCAUCACCACCAAUGACUAUGUUACUUUACGUUCCAGUACCCCUAGGAACAUUUACAGUCCUUGUUCCAGUGCAGUUGGAGAUCAAGACAGAACUUAUUGCAACUCGUCAUGUCUUUCAUUACUGACUGAACUUAUAAAAUCACAAGAGGUCAUAAAGCAGCAACUGGACCUGAUUCUCAAAAAUCAGCAAAAACAAAGCAGUACUCUGCAGCGGGAUGAAACUCCAGAUGCAAGCACAUUUGACCUUCCUUUGUCCAAUUUAUUUGAUUUAGAAAAGCUUGAACAUCAACUAAAGGAGCAGCCCGAACAAAGGAAGAAAGUGUUUAUUUUACUUAUUGGUAGGUUUUCCACUAAAGAAGCAGUGUGGUGUGUCCUAGGAAAGCUUUUGGUCAACUCCUUGGCUAAACAAAUGAACUGGAGUGGGGCAAACCAAAAAGUGGCUUUUCGUGCACUCACCCUAAGGACUGUCGUAGUCAAUGCAGUGAGGACAAAUGUCCAUACCAAUAGCGCCACUGAUGAAGAGGUGGAGAAAUACAUCACAAGGUGGCUACAACUUGCUCCUGAUAGGGUUGAUGGAAGGAAGGAAAGAGAGCAGCUAAUGUGUCAAAUGUCUAAAUUACUUUAUUUUUUUAAAUUAUUUUAUUUUAUAACAACAUUUUAAGUGUAUUAAGAUGUUCCCUGAUACUUGGGCAAUUUCUGUUUUAAGAUGUCUUGUGCAAUUUCAUAGAUUUUUACAUGGGUAUUUUAAGUUGUUUCCUUUUUUUAAUUUUGUGCAGUUUCUAAGCUUUUUUUUUUUACAGUCUAUUUGGAAACUUUUGUGCAUGUGCAAUUUCAGAAUUUUAAAAAAAUCUUCCUGUUUACUUAAAUUUGUUUAUAAUGUGUCAUUAUUCUGCAGCUUCAUUGUUAUUGCUUUAUUGAAAUUUUUAAUUCUUGAGCAGUACAACAUGUAUUCAAUUUUAUUAUUAUUUGUUUAAUACUUGUUUAAUCAAUAAA